Antechinus flavipes (yellow-footed antechinus) is the source of this 740-nucleotide long non-coding RNA. RefSeq lists it as uncharacterized. Lineage: Eukaryota; Metazoa; Chordata; Mammalia; Dasyuromorphia; Dasyuridae. The transcript is spliced from 3 exons. The record is from RefSeq and is a predicted model, not a curated record.
GAAACUGAAGUAUAGAGAGGUCAUGAUUUAUCCAGGAUUACUGAACAAAGGAUUUGAUCUAGGAUCUUCCUGACUACAAAUCUCAGACUUUCUUCAUUGUGCCACCUUAGUUCCAGAAAAGUGGGAGAAUAGUUGAUAUUUUAUAAAGUGUUUCACUACCGUAGCACACCGGAAUUUACCAGAACAAUCCACCACUCACUUAAAAUAGUCUUGUCUUGAUUUCUAAUAACAUAAAAUAUCAUAUAAUCUCAGAGUGGAAAAAGAUUGACCAUACAAACUACAUUUUCAAAGAAAUCCCCUUGACAACAUCCCCAUGUGGUCAUCCAACCUUUGCUUGAAGAGCUCCAGGAAUGACAAAGCCACCAUCUCCUGAAGACUGAAAAGAUGAUAAAAAAUGAAAAUGAAAAAUGUUGAAGGAACUAUGGCAAAACAGCUACACAGCUGUAAAUGCAACAGUGAACUGAUCUAGACAUUUUAGGAAGAGAUUUGGAACUGUGCUCAAAAAGUUACUAAAACUUGCUAAGUCUUUGACCCAGCUCUACCACAUUAUACCUCUACUCCCAAGAAAUCAAAGAAGAAAGGAUAUAUAAAUAUGAGGACAUGAUCAUUUAAUUCAGGAAAGGCUAAUGAAAUUAUUGUUUGUUAAUGUAAUGAAAUAUUAUUGUGCCACAAGAAAUAAUGAAAUAGACAAUUUCAAAGGAAACUGGGAAGAUCUAUGUAAAGUGAUACAGAAUAAAUUU